CGGCCAAGUAUUUGCCCCCAGGCCACGGUAUCCACUCUAUGAGCAUUCUACAGGUUCUUCUCUGCCGAUUUUUGGCAAAAUCCCUCUCUCCCGUGCCCUAGGGCGUCACCCCGAUCUCGCCGGAGUUCCAGUCGAGGAGCUUCAUCGCCGGUGUGUUCCGUCGCCACCAGGAGGACGAGGUCCGAGUUCCGCCGGAGUUCUCCGACGCCGCCGCGCCAUUGUUGGAGAACCGCAGCCAGCAGAGGCCACCCCCGUCGCCCCGGAUGCCUCCAAUCUCCCUGCCGUUGUGCGUCUCUUCCUCUGGUCGGACCGCCGUCGCCGGAGUUUGCUCGUAGCCGCCGCCGUCGUCUCCACCGAGCCGCCCGCGCCUUUCUUCUCCAACUCCGGCGACCACACAGCCCUCUGUUUUCCGAUUGUCCGGAGUGUGAAGCGGGUCAGAAUUGAGCGUUAGAGUACUUCAGCACUGUUCAAGG
Molecule: long non-coding RNA, 473 nt
Organism: Triticum aestivum (bread wheat)
Lineage: Eukaryota; Viridiplantae; Streptophyta; Magnoliopsida; Poales; Poaceae
Exons: 3
Source: RefSeq, a predicted model, not a curated record